GAUCAACGCUGGCGGCGUGCUUAACACAUGCAAGUCGAACGGGAAACCUUUUAUUGAAGCUUCGGCAGAUUUAGCUGGUUUCUAGUGGCGGACGGGUGAGUAACGCGUGGGUAACCUGCCUUGUACAGGGGGAUAACAGUCAGAAAUGACUGCUAAUACCGCAUAAGCGCACGGAGCUGCAUGGCUCAGUGUGAAAAACUCCGGUGGUAUAAGAUGGACCCGCGUUGGAUUAGCUAGUUGGUGAGGUAACGGCCCACCAAGGCGACGAUCCAUAGCCGGCCUGAGAGGGUGAACGGCCACAUUGGGACUGAGACACGGCCCAGACUCCUACGGGAGGCAGCAGUGAGGAAUAUUGCACAAUGGGGGAAACCCUGAUGCAGCGACGCCGCGUGAAGGAAGAAGUAUCUCGGUAUGUAAACUUCUAUCAGCAGGGAAGAAAAUGACGGUACCUGACUAAGAAGCCCCGGCUAACUACGUGCCAGCCGCCGCAGUAA
RNAcentral lists this ribosomal RNA (494 nucleotides) under uncultured bacterium. Its description in RNAcentral is "partial 16S ribosomal RNA". It matches the Rfam family "Bacterial small subunit ribosomal RNA", at positions 28 to 523 of the family's 1533-position model. The record is from RNAcentral.